This 690-nucleotide ribosomal RNA is filed under the name Buttiauxella sp. 110518_136_C_C10. RNAcentral's name for it is "bacterial SSU rRNA". It matches the Rfam family "Bacterial small subunit ribosomal RNA", at positions 70 to 749 of the family's 1533-position model. The record is from RNAcentral. Lineage: Bacteria; Pseudomonadati; Pseudomonadota; Gammaproteobacteria; Enterobacterales; Enterobacteriaceae.
UAACACAGGAGAGCUUGCUCUCUGGGUGACGAGCGGCGGACGGGUGAGUAAUGUCUGGGAAACUGCCCGAUGGAGGGGGAUAACUACUGGAAACGGUAGCUAAUACCGCAUAACGUCUUCGGACCAAAGAGGGGGACCUUCGGGCCUCUUGCCAUCGGAUGUGCCCAGAUGGGAUUAGCUAGUAGGUGGGGUAAUGGCUCACCUAGGCGACGAUCCCUAGCUGGUCUGAGAGGAUGACCAGCCACACUGGAACUGAGACACGGUCCAGACUCCUACGGGAGGCAGCAGUGGGGAAUAUUGCACAAUGGGCGCAAGCCUGAUGCAGCCAUGCCGCGUGUAUGAAGAAGGCCUUCGGGUUGUAAAGUACUUUCAGCGAGGAGGAAGGCAUUAAGGUUAAUAACCUUAGUGAUUGACGUUACUCGCAGAAGAAGCACCGGCUAACUCCGUGCCAGCAGCCGCGGUAAUACGGAGGGUGCAAGCGUUAAUCGGAAUUACUGGGCGUAAAGCGCACGCAGGCGGUCUGUCAAGUCGGAUGUGAAAUCCCCGGGCUCAACCUGGGAACUGCAUUCGAAACUGGCAGGCUAGAGUCUUGUAGAGGGGGGUAGAAUUCCAGGUGUAGCGGUGAAAUGCGUAGAGAUCUGGAGGAAUACCGGUGGCGAAGGCGGCCCCCUGGACAAAGACUGACGCUCA